Molecule: long non-coding RNA, 929 nt
Filed under: Canis lupus familiaris (dog)
Lineage: Eukaryota; Metazoa; Chordata; Mammalia; Carnivora; Canidae
Description: lncRNA (ENSCAFG00040000070.1)
Source: RNAcentral
AUGGGGCAGGAGGACUCAACAUACAACAUACAAGGCCACAGGGACAAUCUAACUGGGAAGAGAAGAUCUGGUGAGCCCACUGCAAGUGAGAUUUCCAAGGGGCCUAAUGUGUGCUGGACAGAGGAGCUCCUUACACCUUGUCUGCUUCUCACCGUAAUGGUGAUGCAGUGUGUCACCCCACUCUAGGACCAGCGCUGCCAUGGCUCCCACACCAAUCCUGAGGCUGCAGCAGAAAAAUGGUGGCUCUGGCUUUGGAAUGAAUUUCCCCUAAAUCAGUGUUUCUCAGACAUUCCCAUCAAAGGUGCCACCACCUUGGAUGAACCCAAUGGAGUUCGCCGCAAGCAUGAAUUUCUGUGAGCAUUUUUAUGUUUUUUAUUUAUUUUUAAAAUUGUUAUGUUUUAUUUGAACACUGUAUGAGUUUGCAUUUAUAUUCAUGUCUAACAUCAAAUAAUACUUUAAAUUAUCAUCAGGUAAAAAACAUAUAAUUAUUUUUGUUGUUGUUUUUUAAAGACUUAUUUCUUCAUUUUGGGGGGGAAGGGCAAAGGAAGAAGAAGAAUCUCAAACAGACUCCCCGCUGAGUGCAGAGCCUGACACAGGGCUGGAUCUCGUAACCCUAGGAUCAUGACCUAAGCUGAAACCAAGAGUGGGAUGCUUAACUAAUGGAGCCACCCAGAAGCCCCAGAAGAUGUCUUUUUUUCCUAACCAAAUCAUUGAAUAAAAUGGAUUUUCCCAGAAAAUAUGCUCUGCAUUACGUGGAGGCUUUGUACAAGUCCACGUUCCACGGGGAGAGGUGAUGUGAGCAGCAAGAUCCCUCCAAGCAGCUGUUAGCUACAGAGGUCCACAGAGCUGGGGGAUUUCAUGUUGCUAGGACUUGGCCAUUGUGUCCACUAACCGACCGGAACUCUUCCCAGAUGGAGACGGCUCAUUUC